This 640-nucleotide ribosomal RNA is filed under the name uncultured bacterium. RNAcentral describes it as "bacterial SSU rRNA". It matches the Rfam family "Bacterial small subunit ribosomal RNA", at positions 202 to 842 of the family's 1533-position model. The record is from RNAcentral.
GAAAGAUUCAUCGGAAGAGGAUGGGCAUGCGGCGCAUUAGCUAGACGGCGGGGUAACGGCCCACCGUGGCGACGAUGCGUAGGGGUUCUGAGAGGAAGGUCCCCCACACUGGUACUGAGACACGGACCAGACUCCUACGGGAGGCAGCAGUGAGGAAUAUUGGUCAAUGGGAGAGAUCCUGAACCAGCCAAGCCGCGUGAGGGAAGACGGCCCUAUGGGUUGUAAACCUCUUUUGUCGGAGAACAAAACCCGGGACGUGUCCCGGACUGCGUGUAUCCGAAGAAAAAGCAUCGGCUAACUCCGUGCCAGCAGCCGCGGUAAUACGGAGGAUGCGAGCGUUAUCCGGAUUUAUUGGGUUUAAAGGGUGCGUAGGCGGUCCGUUAAGUCAGCGGUAAAAUUGCGGGGCUCAACCCCGUCGAGCCGUUGAAACUGGCAGACUUGAGUUGGCGAGAAGUACGCGGAAUGCGCGGUGUAGCGGUGAAAUGCAUAGAUAUCGCGCAGAACUCCGAUUGCGAAGGCAGCGUACCGGCGCCAGACUGACGCUGAGGCACGAAAGCGUGGGGAUCGAACAGGAUUAGAUACCCUGGUAGUCCACGCAGUAAACGAUGAAUGCUGGUUGCCCGGGUCGAAUGAGAUCUGG